Small nucleolar RNA from Ictidomys tridecemlineatus (thirteen-lined ground squirrel), 129 nucleotides. The record is from Ensembl. NCBI's taxonomy places the organism in Eukaryota, Metazoa, Chordata, Mammalia, Rodentia, Sciuridae.
GGGGUGUGCUCAGGAGAGGAGACCUGAUGAAUGGCUUCUCUGUUUACAACACACCCAACAGAAAUCUGGGUUUACUCAUCAUAGGAAGCAGAAUAUAUUGGCCUUCCUGUGACAUCAUGCCCUAUACAU